Molecule: long non-coding RNA, 790 nt
Filed under: Homo sapiens (human)
Lineage: Eukaryota; Metazoa; Chordata; Mammalia; Primates; Hominidae
Description: HSALNT0195106
Source: RNAcentral
AAUUUGUAUUGUCACAGAAAAUUCCCUUGGACAGUACUAACCUAGAGGCUUGAUCCAAUUUGGUCUUUCCAAGGAGCUCUGGUUCCUUUUAGUAGGAAAUGGUGUUAGAGACACAAUUCGAGGUGCUGGGUGCUCAUUGCUUGGGUUGGUCAUUGUUUCUAGGCCUUUCCAUGGACAGAACUAGGGUUUUGUUUUUUUUAAAGAUAAACUGUUGUGCGUUCAUGCUAAUACUUCACAUUCAGGCCUACAGCAAUUUUAAGAUUAAGAAUCUAGAUGUGUAAGACUGAUUUCAUCAAUCUUACACGUCUAGAUUCUCAAUCCUUUUUUUUUUGAGACAGAGUCUCAUUCUGUCGCCCAGGCUAGCGUAAUCUGUGCUCACUGCAACCUCUGCCUCCCAGGUUCUAAGUGAUUCUCCUGUCUCACUCACCUGAGUAGCUGGGAUUACAGGUGUGUGCCACCACGCCCAGCUGUUUUUGUAUUUUUAGUAGAGAUGGAGUUUCACCAUGUUGACCAGGAUGGUCUCGAACUCCUGACCUCAGGUGGUCCACCUGCCUCAGCCUCCCAAAGUGCUGGGAUUACAGGCGUGAGCCACGUGCCUGGCCUAGAUUCUCAAUCUUAAAAUCCAGGUUGUCUUUGAAGACAAUCAGACACCAACAAAGAAAAAAAAAUAAAUAUCCAGGUUCCCAACUACACUGGCACAGUUAUUCAUUUGCUUUGUCUCACAGUCCCAGGAUAACAAUUGCAAAGCGAAUGGCUUAAUGCAUAUGCAGUUUUUCUAAAGAGUUCAUGC